Molecule: RNA transcript, 1394 nt
Organism: Dreissena polymorpha
Lineage: Eukaryota; Metazoa; Mollusca; Bivalvia; Myida; Dreissenidae
Exons: 3
Source: RefSeq, a predicted model, not a curated record
CGGGUGUUAUGCUUAUUACGCAGUAAUAUUUCAAGGCGUCGUGUGACUGGCACUUUGAGCGUGUUUGAGCUGCGUGCUUUUUCAAAAUGGCAGAAGGAGGCUUUGGGUGUACGGAUACAGAGACGGGAAGCGUCCCUAGACCCAUCAGUCUGUACAGUCGUCACUCUCAGAAUUAUGUAGAGAGUGUGUCUGUUGAGAUCUGUACUAUAAUGAACAGGCUGGGAUACGGCGAGGAGAUGAGACGGUGGCGCGUUGCGAAGUACAGGGAGCGUGACAGACUGACAAAUGCAUACCUAAGUAAUAUAACUUUAAUCACAGCUGGCAGUAAGGCAGAAGGGCUGACCUGCUUUUUAUAAAGCGACCGUGACUGUCUAUUCUUGCUGAAAAAUGUCAUCUGUUUGGAAGCUGGUAUCAAUCUUUACAGCAUACCAGACGACUUACAAGUGUACAGGAUGGAUACACAUGUAUAUCCAGGACACUGCAGACUUUUAUUAGAGAGACAAACGUCUAUAAGUGACGAAAUAAUCCACAAUGCUCUGUGUGAUAAUGGAAAUGGGGACGUUCUAUUGAGCAGUAGUUUAUUGUUAGAUGAAUUUUCGUCGCUCUUUGCAUAUGCCCGUCAACUCCUCACUGCAUAUACCGGUCAACUCCAACUCGAUGUGGUGCAACAUAAAUGCGUGGGACCGUCAUUACCGCAUACCAUUCUAGGGCAUUUGCAUACAGACAACGUACCCGCACUACGCUGUUUAUGCCCGAGUGUCCUACACAGAUGGGCUGCUAGACCCCGUCAUUGACCGUCACCAGUCAUAGUUCAAAAAGUCGUAACAUUAGGAGCGAUUCUAACACCGGUAGGAUUUAAGGGGAGUGAAUUCAAGCACAUGGAAUGGAGGAUUAACUUUAACAGCGGUGAGGCAGAACUCGUAAGCAACCUUAAUGAUACUCAGGCGAAAGUUUAUGUUAUACUAAAAAUGAUCAUCAAAGAUAUAAUCAAACCAACAAAUAAAGAAAUAACGUCAUAUAUACUGAAAAACAUAGUUUUAUGGCAAGCUGAACGUACCCCACAGACACGCUUUAGUGCAUACAGUUUGCUUCACUGGCUGCAUGACGGUCUGAGAGAACUAAGGACUGCAAUUGCCAAAAAAACAUAUGCCGUAUUACAUGAUUCCUGAACGAAAUUUAAUGGAAGCAUGUGAUAUAAACAAUAAGCUGCAUCGUAAAUGGGUAGCAGAUAUCACGGACAUGCUAGAAGAAGGUCCCGGGGUAGUACUUAGAUUGGAGAAGAUACGAAAGGCUAUUGUCGGGUCCCCGGAGCCUAUGUUGUGGUACAGCAAGAAAAGGAUGGAGCUGGAGAUGCUGUAUCUCGAGUCAUUGAAAAGAACGGCGGAAUUUAGAGA